RNAcentral lists this ribosomal RNA (447 nucleotides) under uncultured bacterium. Its description in RNAcentral is "bacterial SSU rRNA". It matches the Rfam family "Bacterial small subunit ribosomal RNA", at positions 355 to 825 of the family's 1533-position model. The record is from RNAcentral.
UGGGGAAUAUUGGACAAUGGGCGCAAGCCUGAUCCAGCCAUGUCGCGUGAGUGAUGAAGGCCCUAGGGUUGUAAAGCUCUUUCACCGGUGAAGAUAAUGACGGUAACCGGAGAAGAAGCCCCGGCUAACUUCGUGCCAGCAGCCGCGGUAAUACGAAGGGGGCUAGCGUUGUUCGGAUUUACUGGGCGUAAAGCGCACGUAGGCGGACUUUUAAGUCAGGGGUGAAAUCCCGGGGCUCAACCCCGGAACUGCCUUUGAUACUGGAAGUCUUGAGUAUGGUAGAGGUGAGUGGAAUUCCGAGUGUAGAGGUGAAAUUCGUAGAUAUUCGGAGGAACACCAGUGGCGAAGGCGGCUCACUGGACCAUUACUGACGCUGAGGUGCGAAAGCGUGGGUAGCAAACAGGAUUAGAUACCCGUGUAGUCCCUGAGCGGGCUGGCAAGGCGCAU